This 1013-nucleotide ribosomal RNA is filed under the name Triticum aestivum (bread wheat). RNAcentral's name for it is "partial small subunit ribosomal RNA". The record is from RNAcentral. Lineage: Eukaryota; Viridiplantae; Streptophyta; Magnoliopsida; Poales; Poaceae.
CCAUGCAACAACUCACAGCAAUUCAGCAAGGAUUCAUAGGGAUUCAGCGAAGAUGCACAGGUAACAGAGUAAGGGCCUCUUUGAUUCAUAGGAUUGCAAAAACACUGGAAUAGGAAAAACGUAGGAUUGAAAUGGCAUGUCCAUUGGAUCCCUAUAGGAUUUGAGUUUGUUUGAUUGUGUCAUGGGAAAAGCAUAGGAUUUCUUCCAAGAGGUUGGAGUGGAUGUUAGAAUUCCUGUGAAAUGUAGUACAAAUAAAUCCGUAGGAAAAUAUCCUACAAGAUUCAAUCCUACGAAUCAAACGACAAAGGUAGGAAAAAUUUCUAAGGAUUCUAAUCCUUCAAAAAUCCUAUGAAGAUCCUUUGAAUCAAAGAGACCCUAAGUUUUAGACCCAGCAGUACAUAUAUUCAGUUAACAGAAACAAGAGAAGAGGGAGAUUCAGAGCCUAUGGGACUUGAUGAUCUUCAAUUCGAAGUUGUAGAUGCUGCAGGCGAAGACGAGUAACAGAGGAGAUCCCUUGGGCAGAAACUGUAGCAUGAUGAAGAGCUCAGUGCAGAUCAGCCGCCCUUGUCCCUGGUCCGGAGCAGAGCACCACCGGGAGCCCGACGCCCCGUCCAGUGAGUCGAGGAGAUGUCGCAGCGGCGGUCGUCGGUGUUGGAGAGGAGCAGCAGCGAGCAUUGGGGUUGGAGAGGAAUAUCAGUGGUCGUCGGAGUUGGAGAAGAGCAGCAACACGCGUCAAGGUUGGAGAAGAGAAGUGGAUCGCCAGUCAAGGGCGGCAGGGAGGUGGAGCGCGCCAUCAGGAAGGGGCAGCCUCGUGGUGGAUCGGGCGCCACCGCCAGCCACCUGACACCCUCUUCUCACCUGUCUUUCCUUCGAUCUGGUCCCUCCCCUCGAUCUGGUUCUUCCCCUCGAUCCCCUUUCUUCCCUCCUUCGGUCUGGUGGGUGAGCAGCGAGGAGAGCGAGAGAAAGGAGUCGGCCCCCUGGUUCUUUUUUCCUUCGACCCCCUUCUCCAAUCU